This 1485-nucleotide long non-coding RNA is filed under the name Nothobranchius furzeri (turquoise killifish). RNAcentral describes it as "lncRNA (ENSNFUG00015008807.1)". Lineage: Eukaryota; Metazoa; Chordata; Actinopteri; Cyprinodontiformes; Nothobranchiidae. The record is from RNAcentral.
AUGAAUAUUUGGUAUCAUUUAUUAAUAAAAACACAUUUGUUUUGCUCUGCAGAAUCGGAUUCGGAUGAUUCAAGCUGUCGUGUCCAAGACCCAGAGCCUGAACUCCUUUAUUUUAGAGCCUCUGAGGACCAAGAAAACAUUACUGGUCAAACUGGAGGAAGAACAGAAGAAGUGACAGAAACAGUCUAUAACAGAGAAGCACAGGACUGGCCAGACGCAGAUACUCCAGCACUGAUAGGCUACGCUCCUCCAGUUCUUCCUGUGGCCACAAGCCAAAAUGUCCCAUUUUACAGCGCUGAUAGUGUCAAUGUCCCAAGUGCCCUUUCACAUUGUCCUCUCAGUAAUCUGUCAUCAGCUGCUGAUGGUGAGAAGCCAUCGACACAAUUUAAUUCAUCUGAUGUUUGCUGUGGCCUGUGAGGGGGCAGCUCUCUAAUGUUUUAAAUAUUUGCUCCUGCAGAGGAAACCUCGUCUUCAGGUCCACAGAUGGUGAGAAGUCUUUUAAAAUCGUCUCUAAGUGAAUAAGGAGCACAAUGAUGGUGAUGACAAAACUUGGCUUGAUGUUUAGCAUUGAAGAGGUGUGUUAGGGCCACUUGGAAAAAGGGAGUAUUGAUGGAGGGUUGAGGCUAAAGUCAACAUUCAAUUUCCAGAAAAAAGUCUAAAUAAAGUCUUUUUGCUCCUGAAACCCACGGUGUUUGUUUAAUAAUAGUGUAACCGAGGGAUGUGAGUAAGAUUGGAAAACCAACUGACCUUCUUAGCAUUAGAAACAAUCUUUCCUGUAGCAGCCAGUGUUGGGCAAGUUACUUCAAAACUGUAAUGCAUUAUUUAUUACUUGUUACCCUCAUUUUAAUGUAAUUGAUUACAUUACAAUAUUACUGAUUUUAAAAUGUAAGGCAUUACACUACUUUUGCAUUACUUUCAGUUACUUUCACCAAAACAAUUUCAAUAGGAAUUAGGUCAUGUGAUGCUCAGUGAACUCAUGACACAUCCAGAGGAAGGCGAUGCAGUGUCUGAGCUAGGAUAGCUGUUAAAAACAGUCAGAUAUAAUAACAGUUCUUUAUUAAAUAAAUGCAACAACAAUCUGUACUCUCAGCACGCUGCCAUCUUAGAUUAACUGAGCAGGAUGUGAGGUGGUGGGGGCUCCAAGCCUAUAUUUGCCUUGGUCCCCAAAUGCCUUGAUACGGCCCUGGAUGUGGGACUGACUUCUGGGGUGAUCUGAUUCGAUCACAUGUAUAAAUUUUAAAUGCUUAUAUAUUAUUGCUUUUCACUGGUAAAAAUGUGUAUUGGGGAUAAAUCUACCAACUUUUUUUCUUUUCAAGCACUUUGUUUUGUUUUCUUGAUUUUAUUUGAAUAAUUUCUGGCCCUUUCUCUCUCUAACCUUCCUGCAUGCUGCAUGUUUUCUCCGUCUUCCAGAAAAACUGUUUCCUAGAUUUCCUACUUUCUAACUAAUCAGCCAAAGGGAUCUACCGAACGCAAAAAAAAAAAAAA